GAUGAACGCUGGCGGUGUGCCUAAUACAUGCAAGUCGAGCGGAGAGAGGUAGCUUGCUACUGAUCUUAGCGGCGGACGGGUGAGUAAUGCUUAGGAAUCUGCCUAUUAGUGGGGGACAACAUUUCGAAAGGAAUGCUAAUACCGCAUACGUCCUACGGGAGAAAGCAGGGGAUCUUCGGACCUUGCGCUAAUAGAUGAGCCUAAGUCGGAUUAGCUAGUUGGUGGGGUAAAGGCCUACCAAGGCGACGAUCUGUAGCGGGUCUGAGAGGAUGAUCCGCCAAACUGGGACUGAGACACGGCCCAGACUCCUACGGGAGGCAGCAGUGGGGAAUAUUGGACAAUGGGCGGAAGCCUGAUCCAGCCAUGCCGCGUGUGUGAAGAAGGCCUUAUGGUUGUAAAGCACUUUAAGCGAGGAGGAGGCUACUUUAGUUAAUACCUAGAGAUAGUGGACGUUACUCGCAGAAUAAGCACCGGCUAACUCUGUGCCAGCCGCCGCCGUAA
Molecule: ribosomal RNA, 501 nt
Filed under: uncultured bacterium
Lineage: Bacteria
Description: partial 16S ribosomal RNA
Rfam family: Bacterial small subunit ribosomal RNA
Source: RNAcentral